RNAcentral lists this ribosomal RNA (169 nucleotides) under uncultured bacterium. RNAcentral describes it as "partial 16S rRNA". It matches the Rfam family "Bacterial small subunit ribosomal RNA", at positions 338 to 524 of the family's 1533-position model. RNAcentral also lists the same sequence under 1 other name. The record is from RNAcentral.
CCUACGGGAGGCAGCAGUGGGGAAUAUUGGACAAUGGGCGCAAGCCUGAUCCAGCCAUGCCGCGUGAGUGAUGAAGGCCUUAGGGUUGUAAAGCUCUUUCACCGGUGAAGAUAAUGACGGUAACCGGAGAAGAAGCCCCGGCUAACUUCGUGCCAGCAGCCGCGGUAAU